RNAcentral lists this ribosomal RNA (485 nucleotides) under uncultured bacterium. Its description in RNAcentral is "partial 16S ribosomal RNA". It matches the Rfam family "Bacterial small subunit ribosomal RNA", at positions 28 to 507 of the family's 1533-position model. The record is from RNAcentral.
GAUGAACGCUAGCGACAGGCUUAACACAUGCAAGUCGAGGGGCAGCACAGGUAGCAAUACCGGGUGGCGACCGGCGCACGGGUGAGUAACGCGUAUGCAACUUACCUAUCAGAGGGGGAUAACCCGGCGAAAGUCGGACUAAUACCGCAUGAAGCAGGGGUCCCGCAUGGGGAUAUUUGCUAAAGAUUCAUCGCUGAUAGAUAGGCAUGCGUUCCAUUAGGCAGUUGGCGGGGUAACGGCCCACCAAACCGACGAUGGAUAGGGGUUCUGAGAGGAAGGUCCCCCACAUUGGUACUGAGACACGGACCAAAAUCCUACGGGAGGCAGCAGUGAGGAAUAUUGGUCAAGGGCCGAGAGGCUGAACCAGCCAAGUCGCGUGAGGGAUGAAGGUUCUAUGGAUCGUAAACCUCUUUUAUAAGGGAAUAAAGUGCGGGACGUGUCCCGUUUUGUAUGUACCUUAUGAAUAAGGAUCGGCUAACUCCGUG